CAAUAGCAUAUAUUAACGUUGUUGCAGUUGAAAAGCUCGUAGUUGAACUUUUGGUAGGAGCGACCUGGCCUUGGGCGCAUGCCCUUGUUUGCCGUGUGUCGUAUCUGGCCAUCCUUUUCCGUUUCGGCGGGAAUCUUUUACUGUGAGUAAACUGGAGUGCUCAAAACAAGAAGUUUGUUUGGUACAUUAAAGCAUGGAAUAAUAAGAUAGGACCUGGUUACUAUUUUGUUGGUUUGCAUAGCUAGGUAAUGAUUAACAGGGACAGUUGGGGGUAUUCGUAUUUAAUUGUCAGAGGUGAAAUUCUUGGAUUUAUGAAAGACGAACGACUGCGAAAGCAUUUACCAAGGAUGUUUUCAUUAA
Molecule: ribosomal RNA, 360 nt
Filed under: uncultured eukaryote
Lineage: Eukaryota
Description: partial 18S ribosomal RNA
Rfam family: Eukaryotic small subunit ribosomal RNA
Source: RNAcentral